Molecule: ribosomal RNA, 252 nt
Filed under: uncultured bacterium
Lineage: Bacteria
Description: partial 16S ribosomal RNA
Rfam family: Bacterial small subunit ribosomal RNA
Source: RNAcentral
UACGUAGGGUGCAAGCGUUAAUCGGAAUUACUGGGCGUAAAGCGUGCGCAGGCGGUGAUGUAAGACAGGUGUGAAAUCCCCGGGCUUAACCUGGGAACUGCAUUUGUGACUGCAUCGCUGGAGUGCGGCAGAGGGGGAUGGAAUUCCGCGUGUAGCAGUGAAAUGCGUAGAUAUGCGGAGGAACACCGAUGGCGAAGGCAUCCCCUGGGCCUGCACUAACGCUCAUGCACGAAAGCGUGGGGAGCAAACAGG